Molecule: ribosomal RNA, 254 nt
Filed under: uncultured bacterium
Lineage: Bacteria
Description: partial 16S ribosomal RNA
Rfam family: Bacterial small subunit ribosomal RNA
Source: RNAcentral
CACGUAGGGUGCGAGCGUUGUCCGGAAUUAUUGGGCGUAAAGAGCUCGUAGGCGGUGUGUCGCGUCGGCCGUGAAAACCUGCAGCUUAACUGUGGGCUUGCGGUCGAUACGGGCAUCACUGGAGUUCGGCAGGGGAGACUGGAAUUCCUGGUGUAGCGGUGAAAUGCGCAGAUAUCAGGAGGAACACCGGUGGCGAAGGCGGCAUCCGGGCCCUGUCCUGACGCUCAGGGGCGAAAGCGUGGGGAGCAAACCGG